UCGUCCAGCGGAAAAAGGCCACAAAAACGGAUGGGCUAUAGCCUUGGGGGGUGGGGUUGCCCAACUUCGUCCGCCGGACUUGGAAUGCCGUGAGACUUUGCGAGGGGCCUCCGUGUGCCAAAAAUAGGCCGCGGGCAAAGCCGCGCCCAAAAUUAACCGCCCGAAGGCCGGGGCGCCAAGUUCUCCCAGCGGAAAAAGGCCACAAAAACGGGUGGGCUAUAGCCUUGGGGGGUGGGGCUGGCCAGCUUCGUCCGCCGCACUCGGAAUGCCGCGAGACUUUGCGAGGGGCCUCCGUGUACCAAAAAUAGGCCGCGGGCAAAGCCGCACCCAAAAUUAACUGCCCAAAGGCCGGGGCGCCAAGUUCGUCCAGCGGAAAAAGGCCACAAAAACUGGUGGGCUAUAGCCUUGGGGGGUGGGGCUGGCCAACUUCGUCCGCCGGACUCGGAAUGCCGCGAGACUUUGCGAGGGGCCUCCGGGUGCCAAAAAUAUGCCGCGGGCAAAGCCGCGCCCAAAAAUAACCGCCCGACGGCUGGGGUGCCAAGUUCGUCCAGCGGAAAAAGGCCACAAAAACGGGUGGGCUAUAGCCUUGGGGGGUGGGGUUGCCCAACUUCGUCCGCCGGACUUGGAAUGCCGUGAGACUUUGCGAGGGGCCUCCGUGUGCCAAAAAUAGGCCGCGGGCAAAGCCGCGCCCAAAAUUAACCGCCCGAAGGCCGGGGCGCCAAGUUCUCCCAGCGGAAAAAGGCCACAAAAACGGGUGGGCUAUAGCCUUGGGGGGUGGGGCUGGCCAACUUCGUCCGCCGGACUCGGAAUGCCGCGAGACUUUGCGAGGGGCCUCCGUGUGCCAAAAAUAGGCCGCGGGCAAAGCCGCACCGAAAAAUAACCACCCGACGGCUGGGGUGCCAAGUUCGUCCAGCGGAAAAAGGCCACAAAAACGGGUGGGCUAUAGCCUUGGGGGAUGGGGUUGCCCAACUUCGUCCGCCGGACUCGGAAUGCCGCGAGACUUUUCGAGGGGCCUCCGUGUGCCAAAAAUAGGCCGCGGGUAAAGCCGCGCCCAAAAUUAACUGCCCGAAGGCCGGAGCGCCAAGUUCUCCCAGCGGAAAAAGGCCACAAAAACGGGUGGGCUAUAGCAUGGGGGGGUGAUGCUGGCCACUUCGUCGCUGGAUUCGGAAAUGCCGCGAGACUUUGCGAGGGGCUCGUGUG
Molecule: long non-coding RNA, 1200 nt
Filed under: Citrus x clementina
Lineage: Eukaryota; Viridiplantae; Streptophyta; Magnoliopsida; Sapindales; Rutaceae
Description: Citrus clementina (C. clementina) long non-coding RNA (CCLE_LNC002160)
Source: RNAcentral